This 277-nucleotide unclassified non-coding RNA is filed under the name uncultured fungus. RNAcentral's name for it is "partial contains 5.8S ribosomal RNA, internal transcribed spacer 2, and large subunit ribosomal RNA". The record is from RNAcentral. Lineage: Eukaryota; Fungi.
AACGCAUAUUGCACUUCUCCGGAAGUAUGCCUGUUUGAGAAUCUAUAGUAUCUUUUCACCAGUGUAUGCUGGUGGAGAUUUGGGGCUUCUCGCUUGAGUGCCCUUAAAGCUAUAGCUUGACACUGAUCGAGUGCUAGAGCGUUUGUAUUUGAAACUCUUCGAGUACCUGUACGACGACCUAGCGCAAAGCUCGAGACUGGGCCAAGUCCACCACGGAGGUUUGAAAAAGAACCCGAACCAUGGUCUCAAAUCAGGUAGGAGGACCCGCUGAACUUAA